Long non-coding RNA from Octopus bimaculoides (California two-spot octopus), 1009 nucleotides. RefSeq lists it as uncharacterized. The record is from RefSeq and is a predicted model, not a curated record. Lineage: Eukaryota; Metazoa; Mollusca; Cephalopoda; Octopoda; Octopodidae.
UCCUGCCCGUGUCCAGCUGAAGUAUUUUGUAAAUAAAACAUGGCAAAUCGACCUGAAUUGAUUGUUUUAUUGAAACAUGUGUGGCGUUCUCGAAAGUAAAAUGUUAUUUGCUCUGUGAAAGCUACAGUUUAAACGUCUAUUGGCAAUGUGUUAAUCCACCAACGGAAUGAGAAGUAUCUGAAAGUUAUGGAACCAUCGCAGAUCAUACUAUAAUAUAUACACGAAAACAUGACUCCACAAAUUUUCACGUUGUUUUACUCAGCAAAAGUGUUUUAAGAGAUACUCACUGAAAUAUCACCACCCUUCUUCUAAAUGACUUUUAAUAUCUCAAUAUGACUUUCAAAUACAAAACUGUAUUUCAAAUUAUCUUUAAAUACCGUGUCAUUUUCAUUAUCUGGAUAUUAUGGUUAAUUUCAAAUAUCAUUUUCAUUCAUAAGCUUUUGCAUGUGACUGAUGUUCAAUACAAGGAAAAUCUCAUAGGUUUGACCAAAAAUGAAAGCGAGCUUUUAGAAAAACUCAGUGACAAGUUGAGAAGCUUGGAGAAAAUGGACUGAAAUGGAAAGGAAUAUAACAAAUACAAAAUCUAUUACAAAAGUCACAGAAAAGAUUAAAAUAAUUUUCUAAUAAUUAAAGACAAGAAAGACGAAAACAAAAUACUUCCUGAUAAUAGCGGAAAUAUUGCUCCAAACGCCUCUGCAUGUCAAUAGUAAUUACAGUGAGGCAAAAAAGAAAAAAAAAAGACAUUUUGAUUGACAAAGAUAAAAUACGAGAGUAUAAUAUGUAUUACAGGAUACUAAGGAUAAAAACUACCCAGGUAGUAAAUUUGAAUUUACCCAACGAUAUUUUUAAGGUGCAUGUUUGUAACUAGUAUUCAUUUUUAAAGCAUUAUCUAAAUAUUUUAAUAAUGUUCAGUAAUAGUAUGUCUAAUUGGAAACUUAUAACAGAUACCUGCAUUGACAUUGUGAUUUAAAAACAGUCAAAAUAAUGAUAAUAUAACUAGCACGAAGAA